GACGAACGCUGGCGGCGUGCCUAAUACAUGCAAGUAGAACGCUGAAGGAGGAGCUUGCUUCUCUGGAUGAGAUGCGAACGGGUGAGUAACGCGUAGGUAACCUGCCUGGUAGCGGGGGAUAACUAUUGGAAACGAUAGCUAAUACCGCAUAACAGUAGAUAUUGCAUGAUAUCUGCUUGAAAGGUGCAAUUGCAUCACUACCAGAUGGACCUGCGUUGUAUUAGCUAGUUGGUGAGGUAACGGCUUACCAAGGCGACGAUACAUAGCCGACCUGAGAGGGUGAUCGGCCACACUGGGACUGAGACACGGCCCAGACUCCAACGGGAGGCAGCAGUAGGGAAUCUUCGGCAAUGGACGGAAGUCUGACCGAGCAACGCCGCGUGAGUGAAGAAGGUUUUCGGAUCGUAAAGCUCUGUUGUAAGAGAAGAACGAGUGUGAGAGUGGAAAGUUCACACUGUGACGGUAUCUUACCAGAAAGGGACGGCUAACUACGUGCCAGCAGCCGCGGUAAUACGUAGGUCCCGAGCGUUGUCCGGAUUUAUUGGGCGUAAAGCGAGCGCAGGCGGUUAGAUAAGUCUGAAGUUAAGGCUGUGGCUUAACCAUAGUACGCUUUGGAAACUGUUUAACUUGAGUGCAAGAGGGGAGAGUGGAUUUCCAUGUGUAGCGGUGAAAUGCGUAGAUAUAUGGAGGAACACCGGUGGCGAAAGCGGCUCUCUGGCUUGUAACUGACGCUGAGGCUCGAAAGCGUGGGGAGCAAACAGGAUUAGAUACCCUGGUAGUCCGCGCCGUAAACGAUGAGUGCUAGGUGUUAGACCCUUUCCGGGGUUUAGUGCCGUAGCUAACGCAUUAAGCACUCCGCCUGGGGAGUACGACCGCAAGGUUGAAACUCAAAGGAAUUGACGGGGGCCCGCACAAGCGGUGGAGCAUGUGGUUUAAUUCGAAGCAACGCGAAGAACCUUACCAGGUCUUGACAUCCCUCUGACCGCUCUAGAGAUAGAGUUUUCCUUCGGGACAGAGGUGACAGGUGGUGCAUGGUUGUCGUCAGCUCGUGUCGUGAGAUGUUGGGUUAAGUCCCGCAACGAGCGCAACCCCUAUUGUUAGUUGCCAUCAUUUAGUUGGGCACUCUAGCGAGACUGCCGGUAAUAAACCGGAGGAAGGUGGGGAUGACGUCAAAUCAUCAUGCCCCUUAUGACCUGGGCUACACACGUGCUACAAUGGCUGGUACAACGAGUCGCAAGUCGGUGACGGCAAGCUAAUCUCUUAAAGCCAGUCUCAGUUCGGAUUGUAGGCUGCAACUCGCCUACAUGAAGUCGGAAUCGCUAGUAAUCGCGGAUCAGCACGCCGCGGUGAAUACGUUCCCGGGCCU
RNAcentral lists this ribosomal RNA (1366 nucleotides) under uncultured bacterium. RNAcentral describes it as "bacterial SSU rRNA". It matches the Rfam family "Bacterial small subunit ribosomal RNA", at positions 28 to 1381 of the family's 1533-position model. The record is from RNAcentral.